This 76-nucleotide transfer RNA is filed under the name Acidobacteriota bacterium. RNAcentral's name for it is "Acidobacteria bacterium tRNA-Pro". It matches the Rfam family "tRNA". Rfam says of the family: Transfer RNA (tRNA) molecules are approximately 80 nucleotides in length. Their secondary structure includes four short double-helical elements and three loops (D, anti-codon, and T loops). RNAcentral also lists the same sequence under 1 other name. Lineage: Bacteria; Pseudomonadati; Acidobacteriota. The record is from RNAcentral.
CGGGUCGUAGGGUAAUCGGUAGCCCACCUGCCUCGGGCGCAGGCGAGUGGAGGUUCGAGUCCUCCCGACCCGACCA